Molecule: transfer RNA, 86 nt
Filed under: Eubacteriaceae bacterium
Lineage: Bacteria; Bacillati; Bacillota; Clostridia; Eubacteriales; Eubacteriaceae
Description: tRNA-Ser
Rfam family: tRNA
About the family: Transfer RNA (tRNA) molecules are approximately 80 nucleotides in length.
Source: RNAcentral
GGAGAGGUGUCUGAGUGGUCGUAAGGUGCUCGCCUGGAAAGCGGGUGUACGGAAACGUACCGCGGGUUCGAACCCCGCCCUCUCCG